AAGAACUUGGAAAGAUGUCUGUGUUCUGCGCUGUGAAAGCUGAGCCCAAAGACCAUUCAAAGGAAAAUAAUUGCAGAAAACAAAUAAAGAAAAGGAGCCUGAAAGAAUACAUAGAGAUUUUGAAACAAGAAGUGUGAAAUAAAUCCUUUUCCUGCUCAGGCCCCCAGCUGUGCAACAUGAUAUUAUUCCAGCUGACCUAACCUUGAGACGUAAAAUACAUGAUGUCAGCACAACUGUGUUUGCAACUGUCACCUGUUUCAAAGAAUUUUGUAAGAAUUAACUCUGGGGGUUUGCCUUAAGUACUUUUUCUAAUACUGUUAGCUUGCUUUCUAAAUGUAGUUGUAUAUCUUAUAAAAGUCUAACUCCUACCUGCAACUUCAUCAUUAGGGCCUAAUUAAUGGUUUAGUUUUAUAUUAACAUUAUUUUUAAAAUGUGUAAAGUAUUUUAUAACAGUGAUUUCACGGAGCAUUGAUAAUGCAAACUGCUCAUAGUCUUUACAGGCUGAACACUCUUUUUAAAAAUAAUUCACUCUGUCAUUUUCCAAAAGCUCCUUAGUUUGAUUAUAUUUUCAAUGUGCCCAUUUUGUGUGGUUCAGUCACCUGUGUAAAUAACAGCUUUCUCAGAACUGAAAUGAGCAAAUAAUUACUAACAAUUUUGUAUAAGCAUUAUUUUAUUCAAAAUAGAUUU
Onychostruthus taczanowskii (white-rumped snowfinch) is the source of this 687-nucleotide long non-coding RNA. RefSeq lists it as uncharacterized. The transcript is spliced from 4 exons. Lineage: Eukaryota; Metazoa; Chordata; Aves; Passeriformes; Passeridae. The record is from RefSeq and is a predicted model, not a curated record.